GAAAUGCGAUAAGUAGUGUGAAUUGCAGAAUUCAGUGAAUCAUCGAAUCUUUGAACGCACAUUGCGCCCCUUGGUAUUCCAUGGGGCAUGCCUGUUCGAGCGUCAUUUGUACCUUCAAGCUUUGCUUGGUGUUGGGUGUUUGUCUCACCUCUGCGCGCAGACUCGCCUCAAAACAAUUGGCAGCCGGCGUAUUGAUUUCGGAGCGCAGUACAUCUCGCGCUUUGCACUCAUAACGACGACGUCCAAAAAGUACAUUUUUUACACUCUUGACCUCGGAUCAGGUAGGGAUACCCGCUGAACUUAAGC
Molecule: unclassified non-coding RNA, 306 nt
Filed under: plant metagenome
Description: partial contains 5.8S ribosomal RNA, internal transcribed spacer 2, and large subunit ribosomal RNA
Rfam family: 5.8S ribosomal RNA (bases 1-105)
Source: RNAcentral